AUUGAACGCUGGCGGAAUGCUUUACACAUGCAAGUCGAACGGUAGAGGGGGCAACCCCUUGAGAGUGGCGAACGGGUGAGUAAUAUAUCGGAACGUGCCCAGUCGUGGGGAUAACGUAGCGAAAGUUACGCUAAUACCGCAUACGAUCUAAGGAUGAAAGCGGGGGAUCGCAAGACCUCGCGCGAUUGGAGCGGCCGAUAUCAGAUUAGGUAGUUGGUGAGGUAAAGGCUCACCAAGCCAACGAUCUGUAGCUGGUCUGAGAGGACGACCAGCCACACUGGAACUGAGACACGGUCCAGACUCCUACGGGAGGCAGCAGUGGGAAUUUUGGACAAUGGACGCAAGUCUGAUCCAGCCAUUCCGCGUGCAGGAUGAAGGCCCUCGGGUUGUAAACUGCUUUUGUAGGGAACGAAAAGGUUGUCUAAUAGAUGAGCUCAUGACGUACCGUAAGAAUAAGCACCGGCUAAC
RNAcentral lists this ribosomal RNA (468 nucleotides) under uncultured bacterium. RNAcentral describes it as "bacterial SSU rRNA". It matches the Rfam family "Bacterial small subunit ribosomal RNA", at positions 30 to 501 of the family's 1533-position model. The record is from RNAcentral.